CUGUCCUUAGUACGAGAGGACCGGGAUGGACAUACCUCUGGUGUACCAGUUGUCGUGCCAACGGCAUAGCUGGGUAGCUAUGUGUGGACGGGAUAAGUGCUGAAAGCAUCUAAGCAUGAAGCCCCCCUCAAGAUGAGAUUUCCCAACUUCGGUUAUAAGAUCCCUUAAAGAUGAUGAGGUUAAUAGGUUCGAGGUGGAAGCAUGGUGACAUGUGUAGCUGACGAAUACUAAUCGAUCGAAGACUUAAUCAAAA
Molecule: ribosomal RNA, 253 nt
Filed under: Staphylococcus aureus
Lineage: Bacteria; Bacillati; Bacillota; Bacilli; Caryophanales; Staphylococcaceae
Description: partial 23S ribosomal RNA
Rfam family: Bacterial large subunit ribosomal RNA
Source: RNAcentral